Molecule: long non-coding RNA, 311 nt
Organism: Rosa rugosa (rugosa rose)
Lineage: Eukaryota; Viridiplantae; Streptophyta; Magnoliopsida; Rosales; Rosaceae
Exons: 3
Source: RefSeq, a predicted model, not a curated record
UCCAGCUUGUGUCAAUUCCUGACAUGUUGCUAUAUGUGCAGAUAUCUCCUAGGUCAAGAAGCUAUGCAACUGGUAUAUCAAAUGGUAAUUUUCUGUUGGAGAUGUUCCUUUUCAACUCAGAGAAAUUUCUUUAGCAUCCUUGAAGUCCAAGGUGCAGAGGAAUAAAAUGAAAACUGCUGGUCAAGAUAGUGAUAUACAGAUGUCUUAUCCAUGCAACUUAAGGGAUCAAGACAAUAUCUACUUCGGGAUAUCAAACUAGACAACAUUUACAAGUGAUGUUGUCUUCGACAUGUAAAUUAAACUGAUGUUUG